GAAACAUUAUGGCAAUUUUGUAAUGCUGUUGUUUUUUGUUUAGAGCAUGUAGCAAUCAGACAUGAAAAAGAUGUUCCCCUUACAAAACCAGUCAAACCGAAAAACACCGCAAAGCCAACAGCUGAAAUCCCAACAUCAGCCACAAAAAAACCAAACACAAUUAAGGAAAAAGAAGAAAAAACAACUACGAAGAAACAGCUGAAAGAUGAAAAAGCUAAAGUAAAAGAAGAUCCACGACAUCAAAACCUGACAUCAGCUCCUGUCCGCUACUUUCAAUGUGUCUUCCUAAAUGGACCUAAUGGAUUUGGGCUGCAAUUUCCAAUUAAUUCCCCUUCAAACAAGGAAGAAAAGACUCACUCAAAGACUUCCAAGAGAAAGACAAGGAAACCGGGGCAGUAGAGAGACUGAGUCCUGUGAUCACUGACAUUUUGCACUUUAUCUUUUCUGCUGAGGUCCACAGUAGCUACAGUGGUACUUGUCAUUGCAGGAACGCGAUCCACUUGCACGCAUGUACCUGGAACUGUUUCCAUGGGGCAGCGGCAGAACAAGCAGUAAUGAACGGUGUUUAACAAAGAUAGAAAUGUAAAAGUGCCCAGUUUCUCAUGGAAAGGCUGCAAUGCUAACAAGGCAUUGAUGUGACUGUGUGUGUGAGCAUGUGCGUGUGUUUUCAUGCCUCUUUCGCUCUUGUUUUUCUUUACCUACAUGCUCAGCAUUGAAGUGAGUCUGUUUUCCACUUAAUCUUAUCUAAGGAGUGAAAGGUUGAACAUAGCUCUUAUAUCAGCAAGAUUGCAAGACUAGCUGCAAUCCUAAACCAUUUCUUCUUAAUGUUUAAUCAAAUUGCUGACAGGAAAAUGCCUCACUAAGUCAUGAAAAUGUGCUCUGUGACUGGUGCUAUUUUUAUGUCUCAUUGACCAGUGUAGCCUGAAGCUCACACUUACUCGGAGCAGCUCAAUACACUAUCAGUAAGUUGACUCCACAAGUCAUAUUAAUGAUGAAUAUUUCUAUUUAAUCUGAAACUUAAAUGGACUGUUUGCCCUGUCAGUUGGUGAAAUACAAACUCUUCUCUUCCUAAGGCCCUAAGUGAGAAGAGAAAGUGAAACCAGAUGGCAAAGGUUAGGAAAAACGCUGUUUUACCAACAUGGAGGUUCGGAGAAACAAUUGAAGUAAUUAUAGUGCUUCCACUUUUCUUCUGCUGCUAAAUCAGAUUGUUUUGCGGUAAAAGCCAUGUAAAUGGACAAUAUAACAGCCAACAAUUUGCUAUUAGCUUAAGCCAGAUGAAAAGCUAGGAUGUGAGAUGCCAUUCAUGAAACUAAAGCAACCCAAAUUUGCAGUAAUUAUGUGAUUUUUUGAUGCUGAGAUCAGUGAACAAAAACAAAACCAAACCCAAACAAACGAAGAAUCAGAAAAAAAAUGAAACAUAAACACAUUAAAUAAUCCAGGUAUUUCAUUUUACUAGAUUAAAUGAAAGAACUUCCUCACAGCACACUACUGGAAGUGGCUUACAGUAGAACCAAAAGUAGAUGCGCUUGUCCUAAAUCUUCUUUUGUGCAUUUAUGAAGAAAUAAAGAAUUUGUUGCCCUAAAAAAGAGACGAGAU
RNAcentral lists this long non-coding RNA (1596 nucleotides) under Zonotrichia albicollis (white-throated sparrow). RNAcentral describes it as "lncRNA (ENSZALG00000016152.1)". The record is from RNAcentral. Lineage: Eukaryota; Metazoa; Chordata; Aves; Passeriformes; Passerellidae.